This 254-nucleotide ribosomal RNA is filed under the name uncultured bacterium. RNAcentral describes it as "partial 16S ribosomal RNA". It matches the Rfam family "Bacterial small subunit ribosomal RNA", at positions 524 to 776 of the family's 1533-position model. The record is from RNAcentral.
GACGAACCGUGCGAACGUUGUUCGGAAUCACUGGGCUUAAAGGGCGCGUAGGCGGGCUGCCAAGUCCGUAGGUGAAAUCCUCCCGCUCAACGGGAGAACGGCCUCGGAUACUGGCGGCCUGGAGGGGGGUAGGGGCGUGCGGAACUGUGAGUGGAGCGGUGAAAUGCGUUGAGAUCCACAGGAACUCCGGUGGCGAAGGCGGCACGCUGGACCCUUUCUGACGCUGAGGCGCGAAAGCCAGGGGAGCGAACGGG